Molecule: ribosomal RNA, 374 nt
Filed under: uncultured organism
Description: partial 16S ribosomal RNA
Rfam family: Bacterial small subunit ribosomal RNA
Source: RNAcentral
GUAGGUGGCAAGCGUUGUCCGGAAUUAUUGGGCGUAAAGCGCGCGCAGGCGGUUCUUUAAGUCUGAUGUGAAAGCCCACGGCUCAACCGUGGAGGGUCAUUGGAAACUGGAGAACUUGAGUACAGAAGAGGAAAGCGGAAUUCCACGUGUAGCGGUGAAAUGCGUAGAGAUGUGGAGGAACACCAGUGGCGGAGGCGGCUUUCUGGUCUGUAACUGACGCUGAGGCGCGAAAGCGUGGGGAGCAAACAGGAUUAGAUACCCUGGUAGUCCACGCCGUAAACGAUGAGUGCUAAGUGUUAGGGGGGUUUUCCGCCCCCCUUAGUGCUGCAGCUAACGCAUUAAGCACUCCGCCUGGGAGUACGGCCGCAAGGCUG